Molecule: ribosomal RNA, 116 nt
Filed under: uncultured bacterium
Lineage: Bacteria
Description: partial 16S ribosomal RNA
Rfam family: Bacterial small subunit ribosomal RNA
Source: RNAcentral
CGUUCCCGGGCCUUGUACACACCGCCCGUCACACCACGAGAGUUUGUAACACCCGAAGUCGGUGGGGUAACCCUUACGGGAGCCAGCCGCCUAAGGUGGGACAGAUGAUUGGGGUG